AGAGUUUGAUCCUGGCUCAGAACGAACGCUGGCGGCGUGCUUAACACAUGCAGGUCGAACGAGAAAACUUCCUUCGGGAAGUAAGUAGAGUGGCGCACGGGUGAGUAACGCGUAGGUAAUCUACCCUUAUAACUGGGAUAACAUUGGGAAACUGGUGCUAAUACCGGAUACACUUCUUUACUGCGGGGUAAAGGAGGAAAGGUGGCCUCUUCAUGAAAGCUACCGUAUAGGGAUGAGCCUGCGUACCAUUAGCUAGUAGGCGGGGUAACGGCCCACCUAGGCAACGAUGGUUAGCGGGUCUGAGAGGAUGAUCCGCCACACUGGAACUGGAACACGGACCAGACUCCUACGGGAGGCAGCAGUGAGGAAUAUUGCGCAAUGGGGGAAACCCUGACGCAGCGACGCCGCGUGAGUGAGGAAGGUUUUCGGAUCGUAAAGCUCUGUCAGAAGGGAAGAAGUGUUAUAUGUUUAAUACGCAUAUAAUUUGACGGUACCUUCAGAGGAAGCACCGGCUAACUCCGUGCCAGCAGCCGCGGUAAUACGGAGGGUGCAAGCGUUGUUCGGAAUUACUGGGCGUAAAGGGCGCGUAGGCGGCUGGAUAAGUCAGAUGUGAAAGUCCAUGGCUCAACUGUGGAAGUGCAUUUGAAACUGUCCGGCUUGAGUAUCGGAGGGGAGUGUGGAAUUCCCGGUGUAGAGGUGAAAUUCGUAGAGAUCGGGAGGAACACCGGUGGCGAAGGCGACACUCUGGACGAAUACUGACGCUGAGGCGCGAAAGCGUGGGGAGCAAACAGGAUUAGAUACCCUGGUAGUCCACGCCGUAAACGAUGUGAACUAGGGAUAGGGGGUGUUGACCCCUCCUGUCCCGCAGCUAACGCAUUAAGUUCACCGCCUGGGGAGUACGGUCGCAAGAUUAAACUCAAGGAAUUGACGGGGGCCGCACAGCGGUGGA
Molecule: ribosomal RNA, 949 nt
Filed under: uncultured delta proteobacterium
Lineage: Bacteria; Deltaproteobacteria
Description: bacterial SSU rRNA
Rfam family: Bacterial small subunit ribosomal RNA
Source: RNAcentral